RNAcentral lists this ribosomal RNA (497 nucleotides) under uncultured bacterium. Its description in RNAcentral is "partial 16S ribosomal RNA". It matches the Rfam family "Bacterial small subunit ribosomal RNA", at positions 28 to 507 of the family's 1533-position model. The record is from RNAcentral.
GACGAACGCUGGCGGCGUGCCUAAUACAUGCAAGUUGAGCGAUGAAGAUUGGUGCUUGCACCAAUUUGAAGAGCAGCGAACGGGUGAGUAACGCGUGGGGAAUCUGCCUUUGAGCGGGGGACAACAUUUGGAAACGAAUGCUAAUACCGCAUAACAACUUUAAACAUAAGUUUUAAGUUUGAAAGAUGCAAUUGCAUCACUCAAAGAUGAUCCCGCGUUGUAUUAGCUAGUUGGUGAGGUAAAGGCUCACCAAGGCGAUGAUACAUAGCCGACCUGAGAGGGUGAUCGGCCACAUUGGGACUGAGACACGGCCCAAACUCCUACGGGAGGCAGCAGUAGGGAAUCUUCGGCAAGGGACGAAAGUCUGACCGAGCAACGCCGCGUGAGUGAAGAAGGGUUUCGGAUCGUAAAACUCUGUUGGUAGAGAAGAACGUUGGUGAGAGUGGAAAGCUCAUAAAGUGACGGUAACUACCCAGAAAGGGACGGCUAACUACGUG